RNAcentral lists this ribosomal RNA (850 nucleotides) under Klebsiella pneumoniae. RNAcentral describes it as "partial 23S ribosomal RNA". It matches the Rfam family "Bacterial large subunit ribosomal RNA", at positions 419 to 1271 of the family's 2925-position model. The record is from RNAcentral. Lineage: Bacteria; Pseudomonadati; Pseudomonadota; Gammaproteobacteria; Enterobacterales; Enterobacteriaceae. RNAcentral also lists the same sequence under 1 other name.
GGGACACGUGGUAUCCUGUCUGAAUAUGGGGGGACCAUCCUCCAAGGCUAAAUACUCCUGACUGACCGAUAGUGAACCAGUACCGUGAGGGAAAGGCGAAAAGAACCCCGGCGAGGGGAGUGAAAAAGAACCUGAAACCGUGUACGUACAAGCAGUGGGAGCACCUUCGGGUGUGACUGCGUACCUUUUGUAUAAUGGGUCAGCGACUUAUAUUCUGUAGCAAGGUUAACCGUAUAGGGGAGCCGCAGGGAAACCGAGUCUUAACUGGGCGUUAAGUUGCAGGGUAUAGACCCGAAACCCGGUGAUCUAGCCAUGGGCAGGUUGAAGGUUGGGUAACACUAACUGGAGGACCGAACCGACUAAUGUUGAAAAAUUAGCGGAUGACUUGUGGCUGGGGGUGAAAGGCCAAUCAAACCGGGAGAUAGCUGGUUCUCCCCGAAAGCUAUUUAGGUAGCGCCUCGUGAACUCAUCUUCGGGGGUAGAGCACUGUUUCGGCUAGGGGGUCAUCCCGACUUACCAACCCGAUGCAAACUACGAAUACCGAAGAAUGUUAUCACGGGAGACACACGGCGGGUGCUAACGUCCGUCGUGAAGAGGGAAACAACCCAGACCGCCAGCUAAGGUCCCAAAGUCAUGGUUAAGUGGGAAACGAUGUGGGAAGGCACAGACAGCCAGGAUGUUGGCUUAGAAGCAGCCAUCAUUUAAAGAAAGCGUAAUAGCUCACUGGUCGAGUCGGCCUGCGCGGAAGAUGUAACGGGGCUAAACCAUGCACCGAAGCUGCGGCAGCGACACUAUGUGUUGUUGGGUAGGGGAGCGUUCUGUAAGCCUGCGAAGGUGUGCUGUGAGGCAU